CCUACGGGGGGCUGCAGUGGGGAAUAUUGGACAAUGGGCGAAAGCCUGAUCCAGCCAUGCCGCGUGUGUGAAGAAGGCCUUCGGGUUGUAAAGCACUUUCAGUGGGGAAGAAAGCCUUGGGGCUAAUACCCUCGAGGAAGGACAUCACCCACAGAAGAAGCACCGGCUAACUCCGUGCCAGCAGCCGCGGUAAUACGGAGGGUGCGAGCGUUAAUCGGAAUUACUGGGCGUAAAGCGCGCGUAGGCGGUCUGAUAAGCCGGUUGUGAAAGCCCCGGGCUCAACCUGGGAACGGCAUCCGGAACUGUCCGGCUAGAGUGCAGGAGAGGAAGGUAGAAUUCCCGGUGUAGCGGUGAAAUGCGUAGAGAUCGGGAGGAAUACCAGUGGCGAAGGCGGCCUUCUGGACUGACACUGACGCUGAGGUGCGAAAGCGUGGGUAGCAAACAGGAUUAGAUACCCUUGUAGUC
This 465-nucleotide ribosomal RNA is filed under the name Vreelandella stevensii. Its description in RNAcentral is "partial 16S ribosomal RNA". It matches the Rfam family "Bacterial small subunit ribosomal RNA", at positions 338 to 795 of the family's 1533-position model. The record is from RNAcentral. Lineage: Bacteria; Pseudomonadati; Pseudomonadota; Gammaproteobacteria; Oceanospirillales; Halomonadaceae.